UAUUAACUCUUUCUUCGUGCUUAACACAUGCCAGUCGAACGGAAAGGCCCUUGCUUGCAGGGGUACUCGAGUGGCGAACGGGUGAGUAACACGUGGGUGAUCUGCCCUGCACUUCGGGAUAAGCCUGGGAAACUGGGUCUAAUACCGGAUAGGACCAUCGUUUAGUGUCGGUGGUGGAAAGUUUUUUCGGUGUGGGAUGAGCUCGCGGCCUAUCAGCUUGUUGGUGGGGUAAUGGCCUACCAAGGCGUCGACGGGUAGCCGGCCUGAGAGGGUGUACGGCCACAUUGGGACUGAGAUACGGCCCAGACUCCUACGGGAGGCAGCAGUGGGGAAUAUUGCACAAUGGGCGCAAGCCUGAUGCAGCGACGCCGCGUGGGGGAUGACGGCCUUCGGGUUGUAAACUCCUUUCGUCAGGGACGAAGCGAAAGUGACGGUACCUGGAUAAGAAGCACCGGCUAACUACGUG
This 466-nucleotide ribosomal RNA is filed under the name uncultured bacterium. RNAcentral's name for it is "partial 16S ribosomal RNA". It matches the Rfam family "Bacterial small subunit ribosomal RNA", at positions 29 to 507 of the family's 1533-position model. The record is from RNAcentral.